Molecule: ribosomal RNA, 255 nt
Filed under: uncultured bacterium
Lineage: Bacteria
Description: partial 16S ribosomal RNA
Rfam family: Bacterial small subunit ribosomal RNA
Source: RNAcentral
GUUCCUACGGGGCGCAGCAGUGAGGAAUAUUGGUCAAUGGACGAGAGUCUGAACCAGCCAAGUAGCGUGGAGGAUGACUGCCCUAUGGGUUGUAAACUUCCUUUAUAAAGGACUAAAACGAGGCACGUGUGCCUUUUUGCAUGUACUUUAUGAAUAAGGAUCGGCUAACUCCGUGCCAGCAGCCGCGGUAAUACGGAGGAUCCGAGCGUUAUCCGGAUUUAUUGGGUUUAAAGGGAGCGUCGAUGGGUUGUUAAG